Molecule: long non-coding RNA, 1381 nt
Organism: Apis cerana (Asiatic honeybee)
Lineage: Eukaryota; Metazoa; Arthropoda; Insecta; Hymenoptera; Apidae
Source: RefSeq, a predicted model, not a curated record
GAAUUCGUCUCGCUGCUGCAAUCUUUUCGAAUUAUCCGUGCAUACGUUGAGAAGCAUUGCUUUUUAACUGAAACAUAUGCACACAAUGUAUCUAAGUAAUUCACACGAAAAUAACUGAAAAAUUGUUACCAUUUAUAAAGUAUAAAAAUUUGAUAGAGUACUAAAUAUAUCUGGUUUGUGUACUUGAGUCGUCUAAUAUAAAAUCAUAACCUAAUAUAUAAUAUAAAACCUUAAUAAUUUAAUAUCUGAAAAAUUAUUCGUGAUUCAAUGUAUAAUAAUAUUAUUAUUCGUUUUUUAAUUAAUAAUUUAAGCGAGGAAGUAACUAUUUAUAAAAGAGGAAACAAAAGUUUUCAAGUCUCUUGAUAUAUGGUAAUAAUAAUACGAAUGUGAAGUGCAUUGUUUCCAGAAAUGAAAGAAAUAACAAGAUGUUGCUUGAGAUUAUAGUAAUAUUACAAUGCUAUUGUAAUUUCGUACGUAAUUUAUGAUUCCAAAAACAUUCAACGCUUUAUCUUUUGAUACAUUUUAUUGCCAAUUUACAUUUCAAAUUCCAAAUUAUAGUUAUAAAUUAAAUAUCAUCAAAUAAAUUUUCAAGUAAAUUCAUAUUAACUUUUAUUUAAAAAUAUGAAGAAUUUUUUGAAUUAUCUUUUUUAUUUAUAAAAAACUACGAAAUGAAAUUCAUAAACAUGAUGCAAUAAUUUAUUUUAAGAAAAAGAUAAGUUUCAAAUAUCAACAGUUCUAUAUUAUAUCAUAUUAGUCCAAAUAAAUAAAUCGAUGAAAAUUGGCAAUAAAAUAAAGUAUUUUAUAUAUUAUCUUUAUUUACAGAUUUCAUAGAAGAAUUUUUUUAUCUAGAUUAAUAAAAAGUUACCUAUGAGAAAUCUUCAAUAAUCGAAAUUAUUCAUUUUCUCAAGAAAUAGAAAUUUGACAUAUUUGAACACAGAUUUUUGAAUUUUCGUAUAUAAAAGAACAAAUUUUCAUUUGCAAAUAUUCUCUAUAUUUUAUAACACAAUUAUGCAUCAUAACUUCAAUCAAUGCAAAAUUCAUAUGAUAAUUAUCUCCUGCGAUUGAUAUAUCGUUAUUAUUAGAGAAAAGAAUAAUAGAAUAAUACGAAAUAUAAAUUAUAUAUUAGAUUUAAACAUACAAAAGUUUUAUAAGUUCUGAAGUAUUCAAAAAAUAAGAUUUCUUACACAAAAAAAUAAUUUUCUUCAAAUGAAAAUGAAAAAAAGAAAUGUUAAUUUUUUGAAUUGGGAUUUAAAAUUUGUUCACAAAUAAAACAGAAUAAAAAUUUUUAAAAUAUAAAAAUUCUAAGAAUACAUUAGAUUCGUACACACGAAUAAAAGGGUGUACGAAUAAUAAUGUGAAAUAAAAAGAUUGUUUGUCAUAA